This is an RNA transcript of Rhopalosiphum maidis (corn leaf aphid), 2853 nucleotides long. It is a transcript of the gene named proline dehydrogenase 1, mitochondrial, with no coding region annotated. The transcript has 11 exons. NCBI's taxonomy places the organism in Eukaryota, Metazoa, Arthropoda, Insecta, Hemiptera, Aphididae. The record is from RefSeq and is a predicted model, not a curated record.
ACGUCCUACUACGGUGGUGCCGUACGGCCGAGGACGUUUUUGCCUUUGCAUCGAAGGUUACCUCGUUGAGAUUAUCACUCGACGGUCGUUCUCUCAACACUGUUGUAUUGUAGUCACCAAAUCGCUGUCUACUACUCUCUGUAGCCCCUACUUUUUCGUCCCCGUAAUCUGCACCCGUUUGGCGUUCACCCCGCGGCUCACGCUCGCACCUUACACGUGUAUAUAUUGCUAUAGUAAUAUAAUAUAAUAUUAUAAUUGUUAUAUUUUUUCGCUCGACGUAUCGGUUGCCGUCGUGUUUCCCGCUAACGGGCACAACUAACUCGAUAGCCGGCGACGGCAUUCUCACGUCGACGGUUUUCUAAUUUCGUCUCCUCAGCCGUUCCCCAGUUCCCCACCCCGUCCUACGCGCGUUCGUGAGACUUACGUCGAAUCGUCAGGAUUCGGAGAGCGCGCGCGCGUCAACGUCGUCGUCGAAUUUUGUGCGAGUUUUGCGGCGCGCGCACACACUGCUGUGUGUGUGUGUGUGUGUGUGUCUUUUCGCUACAACUGGCGGGCAGGCACGAUAGUGUGCGUGUGCAAGUGUGAGAGCGCGUGUCCGUGUGUUCUAUAGUGACGGUGGUGUGCGAGUGCGUGCGUGUGUAGACGACCCGAAGGAACCAACCGGCGGCCCCAGUCGACGGGAUCACACGAACGUCUGUCGCCUGCUCACAAGUGCACACACAACUUCGUGACAGUUUCGUGCUGUGGAAUUGGGUCGGUCGGCGGAAAUAUACGUUGGUAAUCGAACUGCGCCGUUAACGAUAUUGUAAUAUAGACAAGUACACACUCAGUCCAUCGGAGGAACGAUCCAAUCAAAUUGUCCGUUAAAUGGCUUUUCUGAAAAUAUCCACAUCCCGUAAGUGCAGUCAAUUACUAUUGCAAGAGCCGCUCAGAAACGACGUUUACGCUCGACUGGUUCGGUCGCUGACUACCAACGCCAAUGGAUCCGCAGAACAGCACCAACAGCGCAGGAACAGCAGCGUGGUGUCCGGCCCGACGGCUGGCGUUGUCGACGCGAAGCCCAAAUGGGAUCAACUGGACACGUCGUUCGCCAACCCGGAGGCCACAUUUAAGAGCAAGACCACCUGGGAAAUAUUUAGAGCUUACAUAGUGUACCAACUAUGCUCGUCCAGUUACCUUGUCGAGAACAACAUGCAGCUCAUGAAACUUUGCAAAGCUGUUUUUGGUGAAAAAUUAUUUACCCUAAUGAUGAAAAUGACAUUUUAUGGUCAUUUUGUUGCGGGAGAAGAUCAGUAUCGUAUUGUUCCUACAUUGAAACGCUUAAGAUCUUUUGGUGUUAAACCAAUAUUGGACUAUUCUGUUGAAGAAGAUAUUAGUCAAGAAGAGGCAGAAAAACGUGAAGUUGAAUCAAGCAUGUCGGAAAUCGAAAAAAGAGACCAAGAUGCUGCUCAAAAAGAAGGUUCUGUUACAGCGGAAACAGUUGGAGGUUCUUUACCACAGUACCACGUGGAUAAACAAUUCGCAGACAGAAGGUACAAGGUGCAGAGUGCUCGAACCUAUUUCUACCUUAAUGAAGCUACUUGUGAACGUAACAUGGAAGUAUUCCAAAAUUGUCUACAUGCAGUAGCCGGUGCUACCUAUGGAACAGGAAUUACAGCAAUCAAAUUAACAGCUCUUGGACGUCCUCAACUUUUGUUGCAAUUGUCAGAAGUAAUUAUGAGAGCUCGUACAUUAGCUAGUGAAAUUAUGGGUGGCAAAGGUAAUGUAAUUGGACAGCAUCUUACUCUCGAGGAAUUAGAUAAGCGUUUGUUUGAAGCUGGAAUCAAGGAUACAAAAAAGUUUUUGGAAAAAGUCACCAAGGACAGUCAAGGUGUUAUUCAUUUAUUCCCAUGGAGUGGUCUGUUAGAUGAAAAUUCUGAACUAAGUGAUUCGUUCCGUGUCCCUUGCUUGAAAGAAGGUCGUAUGGUCAGACUGUUAUCUCAAUUAUCUAAAAAAGAAGAGGAAAUGUUCCGUAAUAUGGUUCAUCGACUUAACACAUUAGUCCAAACCGCUAAAGACCUAGAUGUCCGUAUAAUGAUUGAUGCUGAACAAACAUAUUUUCAACCAGCUAUAUCUAGAUUAACUCUAGAAUUGAUGCAAAAGUAUAAUACAGAAAAAGCUAUUGUAUUUAACACAUACCAAUGUUACCUAAAAGAAACACUUAAUGAAGUCAAGACUGAUUUAAAUCAAGCUAAGAGACAAAAAUUCUAUUUUGGAGCCAAACUUGUGAGGGGUGCUUAUAUUGAUCAGGAGAGGGCAAGAGCUGCAGCAUUGGGCUAUGCUGAUCCAACCAAUCCAUCUUAUGAAGCCACCACAGAAACUUAUCAUCAAACACUGACUGAAUGUUUAACACGCAUUAAGCAACUGAAAGAUCAAGGUGAUGUUUGCAGCAAGAUUGGUAUAAUGGUUGCAUCACAUAACGAAGAUACUGUACGUUUCGCAUUAUCACAAGACACAUAGAAUAGUGUCUAAAAAAGCAUUUCCAACGCCAUCCAAUACAAGGGAAUAGCGAUUACUGGAAUAAAAUGCAGAAAUGGAUAUUACACAAAACAAUAAAACAAAACAAAACAACAGUACUCAUCAUUUAUGAAAACCACCACCAACAUAAUAAUUUAAAAUUUGUUUCAUAAAACAUUUUUCGUUUUUGUUUUCCUCACUUAUCAGAAUGAAAGAAAUUGGAAUCUCUCCUGAAGACAAAGUAAUCUGCUUCGGACAGCUGCUUGGCAUGUGUGACUUCAUCACGUUCCCCUUGGGCCAAGCAGGAUAUUCAGCGUACAAGUAUAUACCAUAUGGUCCAGUCAACGAAGUGCUACC